RNAcentral lists this ribosomal RNA (445 nucleotides) under uncultured bacterium. RNAcentral describes it as "partial 16S ribosomal RNA". It matches the Rfam family "Bacterial small subunit ribosomal RNA", at positions 354 to 796 of the family's 1533-position model. The record is from RNAcentral.
GUGAGGAAUAUUGGUCAAUGGGCGGGAGCCUGAACCAGCCAAGUCGCGUGAAGGAAGAAGGAUCUAUGGUUCGUAAACUUCUUUUGCAGGGGAAUAAAGUGCAGGACGUGUCCUGUUUUGUAUGUACCCUGAGAAUAAGGAUCGGCUAACUCCGUGCCAGCAGCCGCGGUAAUACGGAGGAUCCGAGCGUUAUCCGGAUUUAUUGGGUUUAAAGGGUGCGUAGGUGGUUUGAUAAGUCAGCGGUGAAAGUUUGCAGCUUAACUGUAAAAAUGCCGUUGAAGCUGUCGGACUUGAGUGUAAAUGAGGUAGGCGGAAUGCGUGGUGUAGCGGUGAAAUGCAUAGAUAUCACGCAGAACUCCGAUUGCGAAGGCAGCUUACUAAGCUACAACUGACACUGAAGCACGAAAGCGUGGGGAUCAAACAGGAUUAGAAACCCCAGUAGUCC